Long non-coding RNA from Cygnus atratus (black swan), 1242 nucleotides. RefSeq lists it as uncharacterized. NCBI's taxonomy places the organism in Eukaryota, Metazoa, Chordata, Aves, Anseriformes, Anatidae. The transcript is spliced from 4 exons. The record is from RefSeq and is a predicted model, not a curated record.
GUGGACUAGAAGAGAUAAAGAUGACAGGAAGUCUUCAGGCCACUGUGUUACAGAUGGAAGUCUGAGUUGCAAAACAAAACUGCAGGAACCCUAGAUUUCCACAAAGAAAUUUUGCAGCCAUAUAUAGAUGUCCAAUACCAAACCUUGUUCACCAAUAGAGGACUUGUCCUGAGCACAGUAUGGCUGAUGAUGAGUUGUGGCAGUUAACUGUAUAUCAUCCAUGCAGGUAUGCUGGGAAAAGGAUGCUAAAAGCCCCGGAACCAAGCAUAUAAAAUAGGGUUCUUGGAAGGAAAUGAAUGCUGCUACCUACCUAACAGGGUUAGCAAUCGAAAAGGCAUCCUAGGGAAUGCUGCUGCCUUGCAGCAGUUCAGUGGUACUGUUGUCAGAGGCAACAACCGAUAACUACCAGUUCUAAUCUGGAAUAUAUCUACACAGAAAACGUCGACACGCAGUGGUCAUGGCUUCAUGCUUCGUAGCAUAACCUGCUGUUAUGAUGUUGACUAGUACUUACUUGAAAGCAACCACCACCAAAAGCUUUCAUGAUCCCUGCCGAAAGUGCUUUUAUUUUAUUUUUUAACUGCUGGAAUUGCAUUUGCAUUUUGCUGUGUAAACAUGCUGUUAGGCAGCUCUGGACAACCAUCUGCAUGAUGAGGGAGAUCGCUCCGAUCCCAGAACAGCCAUCUCACAGCAGAGCCAAAUGAUACUCUAUGAGGCCACUGGCUGUGAAGUCAGUGCUAUGCAUUUUUGCUACACAGUACAGAAACUCAUCCACGAUGUAUGGAAAGCUCCAGAAGUUAUAACUACUGUGUUAAAAAGGAUUAAGAGGCUCUAGACAAAAAGUGUGUGAGUUACUUGCACUUCCAUAGAACCUUUCACCUGAGGAUCUUAAAGGGUUUUACUGACAUUAACGAAACCUUUCUGUGGCUCACUGCGUAUAUAUUAAACACCAUCUCUACAUUAAUGCCAAGAAAAAUGGGGUAGCCCUAGAAUGACUUUUCCAGGGUUGCACAGCUUGGUGCAAGUGAUUCUACGAGGUGUGACAGAUCAUUGGUGGGCUUUGGAAGGUAAUUUUCAGCCAUUACUGCAGCCUGACACUCCACCACCUUGCACUUCUACUCCAUGAAGGCUGCAUAAUAGCUGAUGGAUCAUGGCAAUGGUAAAUCCACUCACCCUCUGUUUGCUUCUUUCACUGUUAUGUGCCCUAUGGCUCUAGUGACAGAUCUAUGCUCUGUCUCAAUCUCC